CUGACGAGGAACUGGAGCAGAUGCUGGACAGUGGGCAGAGUGAGGUGUUUGUGUCUAAUAUACUGAAGGACACACAGGUGACCCGGCAGGCCCUGAAUGAGAUCUCUGCGCGACACAGUGAGAUCCAGCAGUUGGAGCGCAGCAUCCGUGAACUCCAUGAGAUCUUCACUUUUCUAGCUACCGAGGUGGAGAUGCAGGUUAGAACGGCCCUGUCCUGACCUUCUGCGGUGAGCUGCACAGUUGUUGACCAUUCUCCUCUGCAUUCUCAGCUGGCAGUCAUGGGAUAUCACUGUCAUCCAGUGGCAGCACCAGGACCUAAGCUGGUAGUACCAGAAGCAGGCAGGGACAGGGAUGGAGACUGGCCUAGAAAAAUAGAUGAAUUCAGACAAAAGUUUACUAGCUAUGGGAAAGGCACUAGUCCUAUGAGCCCAUGGCUGCAGGCCUCUGCUGCAAAUGGAGGUUAUGUAGGACAAUGGAACAGAGAAUGGACAGCCUGACGGGGUGGGGGCCAGAAGCCUUACUCUCAACAGCUCUGGUCUGCCUUAGCUUUGUCAGUGUAGCUUUUUAUCUGCCGAUAAUGUCUUGAUUAGCCAGGCAGUAGUGGUGCAUGCCUUUGAUCCCAGCACACGAUGCAGAGGCAGGUGAAUCUCUUGAGUUCUAGGCUAACCUGGUCUACUAGUUCCAGGAUGGCCAGAGCUACAAAGAGAAACCCUGUCUUUAAGCCUCCCCUCCCCUAAAAAAAAAGAGUGUCAGCUUCUGUGGCCAGGUCACACCAAGCAGUUUGCUGCUCAGUGCCUCUGUGGCAGGUCAUGGCCAGUUUGCACCUCUCCACAGCCUGGGCCCAGGUUGGAAGCACCACCUGGCUUUUGGAAGAUUUUUGUACCAAGGCAAAUUCCCAAGUACUCUAAGGGACCAUCUCCUCGACUUGCCCAACCCACUGCCCCCCUCACCAGAAAAAGCAGCAGAGAUGGGUUCUAUAUUUUCAUUCCAAAUAAAAUGCUCUUUCUUUAAAAAAAAAAAAAAAA
RNAcentral lists this long non-coding RNA (1025 nucleotides) under Rattus norvegicus (Norway rat). RNAcentral's name for it is "long non-coding RNA NONRATT001238". Lineage: Eukaryota; Metazoa; Chordata; Mammalia; Rodentia; Muridae. The record is from RNAcentral.